GUGGGGAAUUUUGGACAAUGGGCGAAAGCCUGAUCCAGCCAUGCCGCGUGCAGGAUGAAGGCCUUCGGGUUGUAAACUGCUUUUGUACGGAACGAAAAGACUCCUUCUAAUAAAGGGGGUCCAUGACGGUACCGUAAGAAUAAGCACCGGCUAACUACGUGCCAGCAGCCGCGGUAAUACGUAGGGUGCGAGCGUUAAUCGGAAUUACUGGGCGUAAAGCGUGCGCAGGCGGUGAUGUAAGACAGUUGUGAAAUCCCCGGGCUCAACCUGGGAACUGCAUCUGUGACUGCAUUGCUGGAGUGCGGCAGAGGGGGAUGGAAUUCCGCGUGUAGCAGUGAAAUGCGUAGAUAUGCGGAGGAACACCGAUGGCGAAGGCAAUCCCCUGGGCCUGCACUGACGCUCAUGCACGAAAGCGUGGGGAGCAAACAGGAUUAGAAACCCGGGUAGUCC
RNAcentral lists this ribosomal RNA (450 nucleotides) under uncultured bacterium. RNAcentral's name for it is "partial 16S ribosomal RNA". It matches the Rfam family "Bacterial small subunit ribosomal RNA", at positions 354 to 796 of the family's 1533-position model. The record is from RNAcentral.